UACGUAGGGUGCAAGCGUUAAUCGGAAUUACUGGGCGUAAAGCGUGCGCAGGCGGCUUUGCAGGACAGAUGUGAAAUCCCCGGGCUCAACCUGGGAACUGCAUUUGUGACUGCAUGGCUAGAGUGCGGCAGAGGGGGAUGGAAUUCCGCGUGUAGCAGUGAAAUGCGUAGAUAUGCGGAGGAACACCGAUGGCGAAGGCAAUCCCCUGGGCCUGCACUGACGCUCAUGCACGAAAGCGUGGGGAGCAAACAGG
Molecule: ribosomal RNA, 253 nt
Filed under: uncultured bacterium
Lineage: Bacteria
Description: partial 16S ribosomal RNA
Rfam family: Bacterial small subunit ribosomal RNA
Source: RNAcentral